GGCGGUUCUCCGACGACAUACCCUGGAAUCAGGCUCCCUCCUCUCUGGUACCAGGGUGCGUCAUCCAAGAACUGUCAC
RNAcentral lists this microRNA precursor (78 nucleotides) under Eptesicus fuscus (big brown bat). Its description in RNAcentral is "microRNA efu-mir-9223d precursor". It matches the Rfam family "mir-9223 microRNA precursor family". Lineage: Eukaryota; Metazoa; Chordata; Mammalia; Chiroptera; Vespertilionidae. The record is from miRBase by way of RNAcentral.